Molecule: unclassified non-coding RNA, 240 nt
Filed under: Borreliella valaisiana
Lineage: Bacteria; Pseudomonadati; Spirochaetota; Spirochaetia; Spirochaetales; Borreliaceae
Description: partial 16S-23S ribosomal RNA intergenic spacer
Source: RNAcentral
AAGGUAGCUUUACUGGAAAGUGUAACUUGAUUACCUUCUCUUUAAGGUGAAGACGAAUUAAAACCAAUUUUAUUGACUUUUUUGUAUUUUUAUUUUGAUUAAAAAGUUUUUAUAUUAUUAAAUAUGUAUCUUAAAUCCAAUACAGCGGCAAUUGAGUAUUUUUAAAAUUGAGAUUAUGUUGUAAUAUAUUAUAAAUAUGCUUUAAUAUAUAAAUCGACCUAAUGUUUUUUUAUUCUUAUU